Pangasianodon gigas (Mekong giant catfish) is the source of this 74-nucleotide non-coding RNA. The record is from the annotation of a GenBank genome assembly. Lineage: Eukaryota; Metazoa; Chordata; Actinopteri; Siluriformes; Pangasiidae.
CAUUUUCUGAUCAGAUUCUGGGCAUUUAAAUGAACAACACGUGAAUCAGGUCCCUCAGAACGAAAAAGAGAUCG